Molecule: ribosomal RNA, 429 nt
Filed under: uncultured bacterium
Lineage: Bacteria
Description: bacterial SSU rRNA
Rfam family: Bacterial small subunit ribosomal RNA
Source: RNAcentral
UGGGGAAUUUUGGACAAUGGGGGCAACCCUGAUCCAGCAAUGCCGCGUGAGUGAAGAAGGCCUUCGGGUUGUAAAGCUCUUUUGUUGGGGAAGAAACGGUAACUUCUAAUAUAGGUUACUACUGACGGUACCCAAAGAAUAAGCACCGGCUAACUACGUGCCAGCAGCCGCGGUAAUACGUAGGGUGCAAGCGUUAAUCGGAAUUACUGGGCGUAAAGCGUGCGCAGGCGGUUGUUUAAGUCAGCUGUGAAAUCCCCGGGCUCAACCUGGGAAUGGCAGUUGAGACUGGACGGCUAGAGUGUGUCAGAGGGGGGUAGAAUUCCACGUGUAGCAGUGAAAUGCGUAGAGAUGUGGAGGAAUACCGAUGGCGAAGGCAGCCCCCUGGGAUAACACUGACGCUCAUGCACGAAAGCGUGGGGAGCAAACAGG